RNAcentral lists this long non-coding RNA (1195 nucleotides) under Triticum aestivum (bread wheat). RNAcentral describes it as "long non-coding RNA (TAES_LNC009148)". Lineage: Eukaryota; Viridiplantae; Streptophyta; Magnoliopsida; Poales; Poaceae. The record is from RNAcentral.
UAUAUGAUUAUAUUAUCAACAAUAAUAUGUAGAUAGUGACAAGAAAAAGCUAACAAAGUAUGAUGUUCUACUGUAGGUAGUGACAAGGCUAUUAUUACUGCCAAAAAAACAGAGAUAUUGUCUUUUAACCUGAGCAUAUUGCUGUUGUCUUUUAACCUGGGCAUGUUGCGCCAAAAAAAACAGAGAUGUUGUCUUUUAACCUGGGCAUCUUGCUCUUGUCUAAUAGUGCAGAUUAGAGAUUUGUUCAAUAAAUAUUAUCUUUACCAUACCAUUUUCUCUUCUAUACAGAAAGCAGUAAGAAUCUAAGAAAGCCGAAGCCUUCCAGCACACUGCAGCAAUAAGAAGAGCGCAAGUCGAACAGGGACACAGCUCACACACUACGGUGGACAGAAAGGUAUUUAACUGUUGGUACAAAGUUGGUUGGAGAUACCUCUGUCCUGUGAUGCUUUUUCAAUGUAGUUGGAGUUCAAGUUAAAGAUGCAUUCUGAGUAGUACUGUAAUAUGCAGGUAACUACAUUGCUGAAACAGUUGAUGAUGGCAAACCUAGGGCAUGAUGGUCACCGAACAAAGGUGGAUCUCCGUCCUUUGCAGCAACAGCCGUCGCCUCGCAACAGCCGUCGAGCGAAGGUUGUGGUUCGGACGCCGAGGUUGCGGUGCAGUUGUGCUGAUCGCACAGCUGGCCUCGCGUGUGAACAACGAUGUGGACUGACGGCUGACUGAAGUGCCGUUUCUCUUCUCGGCGCAUGCGCGGGUCGGGUCGAUGGAGCUGGUGCGUGAGGAAGAACUGGCGUCGAUGGAGCUCGUAUGCGAGGAAGAACCGGCGUUUCUGUCCCUGGUGGCGACGUGCGUUGGCGGGUCGAUGGAGCUAGUUCGAUGGUUUGAUUUUUGGUCGAUGGACCUCGUUCGUGGGUUGCCGAACUGUUUUGUUUGUUGGCUGGGCAUGUGAUCGUGGGGUUUGGCUCGUUUGACGGUGGUCCAUGGGCUGAAUAUCGGAUGAGUUGCCCUUGAUUUUUUGGGCUUGCGGGCUGGAUUUUGUGUGGAGGUGUGGGACACCGCGCGAUGGCUGUCUUACAGGCGGAGGAUCGAACGAGGUGGUCGAACCACGAGGAGAGGUCGAACCAACACGACGUUCGAUCCCCUUUAAUAGUAGAGAUACUCGAGAUAAAACAUAAACCCAGAUCAAAGCUGUUGUUCA